GCAAACUGCAAACUGUGUCAAGUUUACACCUUGUGUUGUCAAAAUAUCUAGCUAAAUUCAGUCAUUUUUUUGGGGACUUCUUAUCAGGUACUAACCUUGUGUUUCAAGAGGUUUUCUCCAUUUUAUUGCUCAAUUUGUAGAGUGCAUUGCAUGUGUUAAUUUUCAGUUCUGGAGUCAAUUGAGAUCCAAAAUUAAAUUUCUCAAUAUUUGGAGAGAAAAGUAUGAUUUUGAUAAUGUUUCGUAUUAGGCUCUCAAAUAUGAAUGAAAUGCAGAUUUAAGUAUAGAUUAGGCUCUCUUCUUUCUCCUACCCUCAUAUCUCUCUAUCUCUCUCUCUCUCUCUCUCUCUCUCUCUCGCUCUUUGUGUGUGUAUAUAUAUAUAAUAUAAUUUAAUUGCUUGUCUUUAUACUAUGUAUUGAGAUAAAAAGAGUCAAAAUCAUCCCUAGCGUAAUUUAAUAAUAUUGUUGUAAUUUAAUUGCCUGUCUUUAUACUAUGUAUUCUUCUCCUCCUAGGGUUUACAAUCUUGAAUCUCCUCCUAGGGUUUGCCCCUUGCGAUUUCAAGCGGUAAAUUCUCUCUCUGAUCUUGAAGUUCAUAUUUAAUUAUAAAUUUGUUGUGAGAUUUGAAUUUGAAUCCAUGUGUUCAUUUGAUUUGAAUUUGAAUAUGAAUAUGAAUUUAUGUUGUCAAAUCGUGAAAUUCAAUCUGUGAUGCUAUGAUAUUGCUUCCUCAUGAAUUUACUUGAGUUAUUGUGUGCUUGUGAUCUCCAAGUUUAUAUUGAAGGCUUUGUUUAGUAUAUAGGGAAGGUUAAUCCUCAAUACUACUCAAGAAGACCCAUAACGAUUGCAGUAUUAGAAACAAUCAGAUUUACAUGUGUUUCCCUCCCUAAAUAUUUAGUCUAAUGGAAAUCAACCUACUUCAAUUAUUUUCCUUUUUUGUUUUUUGAAAUGUUACAGAGGUAUUAUUGUAUAUAUACACUGCAAGAUUGUUAUAAGGUAGUGUUAAACUUGUGAUAUGCUUCACAAUAGCCACAUGUUAGCUACAGGUUAAGACAGUUGCAGUCAAAGUCAGUGAGGAAGCUACUUAUGGCCUAAGGUCUCCAAAAUUCAUCCAAUAACCCUGGCUUGAUGAGUUAACUUAAUGUUUAUUUGCAGACAUCAGACUCGUUGCGACUGCGGAGAAGAUCUUGAGUUAUGUCCUAUCUGUCGAAGCACCAUCCAAACCUGGAUAAAACUCCAUUAAAUGGCAUCAAAUGUUGCAAAAACUUGCCAAUAAUGACAGCUCCCAAACUCGGGUUCAUCACAUCUUGUGCUAUGUACAUAUUUUCACUUUUUGAUUCACACGAGAUAUUUGUUUGUGCACUAUAUCUUUUGUAUUGGUGAGAUGUAUAAAUUUGUAAUAAGCUUUAAGAGUGCCUGAGGUCUUCUAUAGGAUCAUAAGUUCUGUACUAACUUAAAUUGGUUCAUUGACUUCUUUGUUUUUUGAUUCUGUUCAGUAUGAAACACUAUUUUCUCUGCCCUAUAAUUUUUGAUAGCACGUGUCAUAUUAAUACAAGGGUUGCUUUUGAUUAUGGCUCAAGUGAUUCGGCUUAUGUGGUUCUUUUAGGCUUUCACACCAGCCUUCAGCUCGACAUAGAGCGCCAAGUUUGUAAUGUUUGUAUACUACAUAAUUCAAUUAUGGUCAUGGUCAGGAGAAUUUUGCUUUCGGUUUUCUUUCAUAUUUUUAAAUUUUAUUUUAUUUUUUGUAAUAUUAAGCGAGUUGCGUGCAAGUACCCUACCAUUUCCCCUAGGGCUUGUGAGAAACAGCUUGUGUUUAUGCUACUGUACAUGAAAUCUUAUUAUAUUUCUGCCUGUGUCUGAAAUCGAUAGACUAUGACCUCUUUUGGCAAAGAGGUUAAAAGCAGCUUUUUUGGCGUUUCGAUUUUUUUGAGUCACAUCAAUUCUCUAUUUUUUUCAAAAAAAAAAUAAAAAAAAGUUAAAAAAUCAGUUUUUAACUCGCUUUUCAAAACAAGCCUAUGUACGAGGAGUAGCAGAACAAUUAGCCGGUUUGUGUCUUUGUGAGGAGGUUAGAGGCUGGGAAAGACAUGUCCAACAUGAAGUGAUGCUGUUUUACUUGUAAUAGUCUUCUUAAUUUGGUUGUUCUGUGUUACACUUCCAACAGGCUAGCAUCACAUUUCGUAUCAUCCCGGCUUGAAACUCUGCAGUUUGGGUUAUUUCUAGUGUAUGAUCUCCAGCUUCAGCUCCAGACCUGAUCAGCUAAGGUUUUUACUCAUCUUCUAAAAGGUCAACCAAACAGCCCUUCAUCUAAAGACUCAUUGCUAUGCUCACUAUUAUUUUUUUUCUUCUGGGAUCAAAGUGAUGCUCGCUCUGUUGAGUGCAACAUUUCAGACAGCAAAGUUCGGCCUCUUAAGGCUUGACAGGGAUCUCUGGUGUUACUCCGGUGCUUUCAGAGAAGGGCAGGAAAGCUCCCUGGUGAUACCACUUCUAUGUUGAAGGCUUGGUGGCAAUCACAUUCUAAGUGGCCGUACCCAACUGAGGAAGACAAGGCAAGAUUGGUCCAGGAAACAGGGUUGCAAUUGAAACAGAUAAAUAAUUGGUUCAUUAAUCAGAGGAAAAGGAAUUGGCACAGCAAUUCUUCCACUUCUACAGUCUUGAAGAGCAAGCGCAAAAGUAAUGCAGGUGACAACAGCGGUGAUCGUUUCAUGUGAGUGAAGGACAAAUUCGUAAUCCAAUCAACAAUAUAUUUCUUCAUGCCUCCACUCCAGUGAUAAUCCAGAAUCAGUGCAUGUAUCUACAUAACAAAAUAGGACAGUAUAGUGCUGCUUGUGAACAUUACAGCGUGCAAAUGAGAGAAUAGGUACACAGGUAUGUAUGCACAAAAGACUGCAGAUGGUAUACUGUAUGUGCUGUGAUAUCAUUAGGAAGUUCAAUUAUUAGAAUAUAUGACAAAACUGAGUUGGGUAGCAUCAUAUAUUGGCGGUUCAUGAUUUUGUUUACGUUUUACAUAUCUGUGAGUAAGAAUAGAGACGGGUUGUGGGUGUAUAGUGUAAUAAUCUCUUUCAUAGCAAUCAUAAAUUUUCUAGCAGUGUUUAGUAAUGUAGUCUCAAUAGUUGUUGCAUCUGUUGAAUGUAUUUAGUAGUUACAAUAUUUUUCUUCUUUCCCUUUUGGCAUAUUUUGACACUAUUAGAAGUCGUCAAGUGUCCUCUUAGUCCAAUUUUCCUUCAUUGUAACAGUUGUAUUUUUAGUUUGGGAAAAAAUUGAGGCAUCAUGUCUGA
This is a non-coding RNA of Camellia sinensis, 3266 nucleotides long. NCBI's taxonomy places the organism in Eukaryota, Viridiplantae, Streptophyta, Magnoliopsida, Ericales, Theaceae. The record is from RefSeq and is a predicted model, not a curated record.